RNAcentral lists this ribosomal RNA (398 nucleotides) under uncultured soil bacterium. Its description in RNAcentral is "bacterial SSU rRNA". It matches the Rfam family "Bacterial small subunit ribosomal RNA", at positions 26 to 452 of the family's 1533-position model. The record is from RNAcentral.
AGAACGAACGCUGGCGGCAUGCUUAAUACAUGCAAGUCGAACGAACUCUUCGGAGUUAGUGGCGCACGGGUGCGUAACGCGUGGGAAUCUGCCCCUUGGUUCGGAAUAACAGUUGGAAACGACUGCUAAUACCGGAUGAUGACGAAAGUCCAAAGAUUUAUCGCCAAGGGAUGAGCCCGCGUAGGAUUAGCUAGUUGGUGAGGUAAAGGCUCACCAAGGCGACGAUCCUUAGCUGGUCUGAGAGGAUGAUCAGCCACACUGGGACUGAGACACGGCCCAGACUCCUACGGGAGCAGCAGUAGGAAUAUUGGACAAUGGCGAAAGCCUGAUCCAGCAAUGCCGCGUGAGUGAUGAAGGUCCGUUAAGGGUUAGUAAAGUCUUACUUUUAACCCGGAGAU